RNAcentral lists this long non-coding RNA (695 nucleotides) under Gossypium raimondii (Peruvian cotton). Its description in RNAcentral is "long non-coding RNA (GRAI_LNC003296)". The record is from RNAcentral. Lineage: Eukaryota; Viridiplantae; Streptophyta; Magnoliopsida; Malvales; Malvaceae.
GAAACAGCCCAAAUUAACAAAAAUAAUCAGUCCAGUUACAUUAAACACAAAAACUACAAGCCCAAACCCAAUAAGCCCAAAAAUCAGAAACCCUAAGCCCAAAUUAAUAGGCCCACAGCCUAAACAUUUUCAGCAGAAAUGAGCAAAAGAAACCCUAAAGCGCCGCUAGCCUCCUCGUCUGCCACAACCGCUGCAUGCGCGCCAGGCCAUCCUUCACGCGUGUCAGACCGCCUGCACACAAUAACAAUCCAAAGCAAAAAGCAAUAAAAAAUGAAAAAAAGUUGUAAUCCGGCUAUAAAGGCCGAAGCUUAUCACCGUUUUUUCUUCUUCGAUUUUCUUUGUAAAAAAAACCCACAUCAGAAAUCAAAAGCUGAAUAGAAAUUUUAAAGGGUUAAAUCCUUGUUAUUUACUCUUCGUUUUUUUCUUUUUUUCUUUUAUUUAUUUGUUUGUUUUAUUCUUUUUUUUCCUUUCUUUUGCAAAUCUAUUUUAAAUAACUAUAAAAUCAAAAGCAAAAAAAAUAAGGGGAAGUGAAACUCACCGGAGUUGGCCGUGACCGUGCCGCCGGGGGUCUCUCCUUCAUCGUUGGCCGUCGAUCUUUGUGGCUGUGGCGGUGGCGCUCCAGGUGUUAAGAAACCCAAGGGUUGGGUGUUUGAAAGAAAGGGGUUUAAAAAAAGGAGAGACUCUUUCAGUUUUCG